This 467-nucleotide ribosomal RNA is filed under the name uncultured bacterium. Its description in RNAcentral is "partial 16S ribosomal RNA". It matches the Rfam family "Bacterial small subunit ribosomal RNA", at positions 28 to 507 of the family's 1533-position model. The record is from RNAcentral.
GAUGAACGCUGGCGGCGUGCUUAACACAUGCAAGUCGAACGGAAAGGCCCAAGCUUGCUUGGGUCCUCGAGUGGCGAACGGGUGAGUAACACGUGGGUGAUCUGCCCUGCACUUCGGGAUAAGCCUGGGAAACUGGGUCUAAUACCGGAUAGGACCACUUCUUGGAUGUUGUGGUGGAAAGUUUUUUCGGUGUGGGAUGAGCUCGCGGCCUAUCAGCUUGUUGGUGGGGUAAUGGCCUACCAAGGCGUCGACGGGUAGCCGGCCUGAGAGGGUGUACGGCCACAUUGGGACUGAGAUACGGCCCAGACUCCUACGGGAGGCAGCAGUGGGGAAUAUUGCACAAUGGGCGCAAGCCUGAUGCAGCGACGCCGCGUGGGGGAGGACGGCCUUCGGGUUGGAAACUCCUUUCGCUAGGGACGAAGCGUUUUGUGACGGUACCUGGAGAAGAAGCACCGGCUAACUACGUG